AUGGCGGCGGCGACCGCUCCGGCCACUGCGACGAAGCUGGCGGCGGAUGAGUACACGGCAGAGUUUGCGGGAGUGCCUGUGGGGGCACCGCUGGGGGCGCCGGAGGGCGUCGCGGAGACCGCGGACGGCGUCAUCGCAGAGGGAGCAUCGGUCGGUGCGUCGGUGGGCGGGGCCGGGGGAGAGGCCAUCGGGGACGGCGACGCGGCGGUGGGCGGGGUGGCGAGCGGCGCAGGAGCAUUGGUUGGAGACCUUGCCGGAGGUGCGGGGAGCGGGGCCAUCCUGGGGGCCGGUAGCGGGGCCAUCCGGGGCGCCGGCAUGGGGCCCUGCGCGGCGGCGGCGACUGCGAGGAGGGCGAGGAUGGCGGCUACCACGGCGAAGCGAGCCAUCUGGUAG
This 393-nucleotide ribosomal RNA is filed under the name Triticum aestivum (bread wheat). RNAcentral's name for it is "partial small subunit ribosomal RNA". Lineage: Eukaryota; Viridiplantae; Streptophyta; Magnoliopsida; Poales; Poaceae. The record is from RNAcentral.